UAGAGUUUGAUCCUGGCUCAGAACGAACGCUGGCGGCGUGCUUAACACAUGCAAGUCGUGCGAGAAAGGAGGGGGCAACCCUUCCGAGUAAAGCGGCGAACGGGUGAGUAACACGUGAGCAACCUGCCCAAAAGAGUGGGAUAACCUUGCGAAAGCGGGGCUAAUACCGCAUAUGACCACGUCGCGCAUGAGAUGGGGUUAAAGGUGGCCUCUCCUUGGAAGCUGCCGCUUUUGGAUGGGCUCGCGGACCAUUAGCUUGUUGGUAGGGUAACGGCCUACCAAGGCGAUGAUGGUUAGCUGGUCUGAGAGGACGAUCAGCCACACUGGAACUGAGACACGGUCCAGACUCCUACGGGAGGCAGCAGUGGGGAAUCUUGGGCAAUGGGCGAAAGCCUGACCCAGCAACGCCGCGUGGAGGAUGAAGCCCUUCGGGGUGUAAACUCCUGUCAGGCGGGACGAAUCUUCCAUUCCUGAAUAGGGGAUGGGGUUGACGGUACCGCCAGAGGAAGCCCCGGCUAACUACGUGCCAGCAGCCGCGGUAAUACGUAGGGGGCAAGCGUUGUUCGGAUUACUGGGCGUAAGGGCGUGUAGGUGGCCUUGCAAGUCAGGCGUGAAAUCCUUCGGCUUAACUGGAGAAGUGCGCUUGAUACUGCAAGGCUUGAGUGCGGGAGAGGAGAGUGGAAUUCCCGGUGGAGCGGUGAAAUGCGUAGAUAUCGGGAAGAACACCGGUGGCGAAGGCGGCUCUCUGGACCGCAACUGACACUGAGACGCGAAAGCUAGGGGAGCAAACGGGAUUAGAUACCCCGGUAGUCCUAGCCGUAAACGUUGGGCACUAGGUGUAGGAGGUAUCGACCCCUUCUGUGCCGCAGUUAACACAAUAAGUGCCCCGCCUGGGGAGUACGGCCGCAAGGCUGAAACUCAAAGGAAUUGACGGGGGCCCGCACAAGCGGUGGAGGAUGUGGUUCAAUUCGACGCAACGCGAAGAACCUUACCUGGGCUUGACAUGUACCAGAAAUUAGCAGAAAUGCUGGUGUCCUUCGGGACUGGUACACAGGUGCUGCAUGGCUGUCGUCAGCUCGUGUCGUGAGAUGUUGGGUUAAGUCCCGCAACGAGCGCAACCCUCACCCUCUGUUGCCAUCGGUUCGGCCGGGCACUCGGAGGGAACUGCCCCGGACAACGGGGAGGAAGGUGGGGAUGACGUCAAGUCCUCAUGGCCUUUAUGUCCAGGGCAACACACGUCCUACAAUGGCCGGUACAAAGGGCUGCAAACCCGCGAGGGGGAGCCAAUCCCAGAAAACCGGUCUCAGUUCGGAUUGGAGUCUGCAACUCGACUCCAUGAAGUCGGAAUCGCUAGUAAUCGCGCAUCAGCAUGGCGCGGUGAAUACGUUCCCGGGCCUUGUACACACCGCCCGUCACACCACGAAAGCCUGUUGUACCUGAAGUCGCUGGGCUAACCCGUAAGGGAGGCAGGCGCCCACGGUAUGGCCGGUGAUUGGGGUGAAGUCGUAACAAGGUAGCCGUAGGGGAACCUGCGGCUGGAUCACCUCCUUA
RNAcentral lists this ribosomal RNA (1551 nucleotides) under uncultured bacterium. RNAcentral describes it as "bacterial SSU rRNA". It matches the Rfam family "Bacterial small subunit ribosomal RNA". The record is from RNAcentral.